UUGAGGAGGAUUUGAUCCUGGUCCAGGAUGAACGCUGGCGGCGUGGAUAAGGCAUGCAAGUCGAACGAUCUUCCGCGCCGGGCGGAGGGGAGCUUGCUCCCCAAUGCCCUGCGGAAGGGAGUGGCGAACGAGUUAGUAAUACCUUGGUAACCUACCCCCAAGACGGGCAUAACCCGGGGAAACUCGGGCUAAUUCCCGAUAGUCCUACUGCGGCAACGUAGUAGGUAAAGGAGCAAUCCGCUUGGGGAGGGGCCUAGGUCCGAUCAGCUUGUUGGUGAGGUAACGGCUCACCAAGGCGAUGACCGGUAGGGGAGGUGAGAGCCUGACCCCCAACGGCGGCACUGAGACACGGGCCGCACACCUACGGGUGGCAGCAGUCGAGAAUAUUCCGCAAUGGGCGAAAGCCUGACGGAGCGACGCCGCGUGCAGGAAGAAGGCCUUCGGGUUGUAAACUGCUGUAGCAAGGGAAGAAGCCUUCGGGCUGACGGUACCUUGCGAAAAGGGGUUGGUAACUACGUGCCAGCACCAGCGGUAAUACGUAGACCCCGAGCGUUAUCCGGAUUUAUUGGGCGUAAAGGGGGCGUAGGGGGCCGGAUUAGUCUUUUGUGAAAGCCCACUGCCCAACGGUGGGAACGCGAAAGAAACGGUCCGGCUAGAGGAGGCUAGAGGUGAGCGGAACGCACGGUGUAGGGGUGAAAUCCGUUGAUAUCGUGCGGAACACCGAAGGCGAAGGCAGCUCACUGGGACCUUCCUGACCCUGAGGCCCGAAAGCGUGGGGAGCGAAGAGGAUUAGAUACCCUCGUAGUCCACGCCCUAAACGAUGUCCGCUAGCUGUUUCGAGUGUCGACCCUCGGAGUGGCGAAGCUAACGCGUUAAGCGGACCGCCUGGGAACUACGGCCGCAAGGCUAAAACUCAAAGGAAUAGACGGGGACCCGCACAAGCGGUGGAGCAUGAGGUUUAAUUCGAUGAUAAGCGAGGAACCUUACCAGGGCUUGACAUCCCGGGAGAAAGCCGGCCGAAAGGUUGGCCCUCCAAGUUUUCUUGGACUGCCGGGACAGGUGCUGCAUGGUUGUCGUCAGCUCGUGCCUUGAGGUGUUCCCUUAAUUGGGGUAACGAGCGCAACCCCCAUCCUGUGUUACACGUGUCACAGGAAACUGCCCCCAUAUGGGGGAGGAAGGAGGGGAUGACGUCAAAUCCGCAUGGCCCUUUGACGCCCUGGGCUACACUCAUGCUACAAUGGCCGAGACAACGGGUUGCCAAGCCGUAAGGCGGAGCUAAUCCCUGAAACUCGGCCCCAGUUCGGAUUGAGGGCUGCAACCCGCCCUCAUGAAGCCGGAAUCGCUAGUAAUCGCGGAUCAGCCAUGCCGCGGUGAAUACGUUCUCGGGUCUUGUACUCACCGCCCGUCACGCCAAGGGAGCCGGGAGCAGGUGAAGCUCAGCUUUGCUGGGUAAGCCUGAGCUCGGUGACAUGGGCGAAGUCGUAACAAGGCACGGGUAGCGGAAGCUGUCCGUGGAUCA
The sequence is a ribosomal RNA, 1519 nucleotides long. It matches the Rfam family "Bacterial small subunit ribosomal RNA".